This 497-nucleotide ribosomal RNA is filed under the name uncultured bacterium. RNAcentral's name for it is "partial 16S ribosomal RNA". It matches the Rfam family "Bacterial small subunit ribosomal RNA", at positions 28 to 507 of the family's 1533-position model. The record is from RNAcentral.
GAUGAACGCUGGCGGCGUGCCUAAUACAUGCAAGUCGAGCGAACGGACGAGAAGCUUGCUUUUCUGAUGUUAGCGGCGGACGGGUGAGUAACACGUGGAUAACCUACCUAUAAGACUGGGAUAACUUCGGGAAACCGGAGCUAAUACCGGAUAAUAUUUUGAACCGCAUGGUUCAAAAGUGAAAGACGGUCUUGCUGUCACUUAUAGAUGGAUCCGCGCUGCAUUAGCUAGUUGGUAAGGUAACGGCUUACCAAGGCAACGAUGCAUAGCCGACCUGAGAGGGUGAUAGGCCACACUGGAACUGAGACACGGUCCAGACUCCUAAGGGAGGCAGCAGUAGGGAAUCUUCCGCAAUGGGCGAAAGCCUGACGGAGCAACGCCGCGUGAGUGAUGAAGGUCUUCGGAUCGUAAAACUCUGUUAUUAGGGAAGAACAGAUGUGUAAGUAACUGUGCACAUCUUGACGGUACCUAAUCAGAAAGCCACGGCUAACUACGUG